GACGAACGCUGGCGGCGUGCUUAACACAUGCAAGUCGAACGGAAAGGCCCUGCUUUUGUGGGGUGCUCGAGUGGCGAACGGGUGAGUAACACGUGAGUAACCUGCCCUUGACUUUGGGAUAACUUCAGGAAACUGGGGCUAAUACCGGAUAGGAGCUCCUGCUGCAUGGUGGGGGUUGGAAAGUUUCGGCGGUUGGGGAUGGACUCGCGGCUUAUCAGCUUGUUGGUGGGGUAGUGGCUUACCAAGGCUUUGACGGAUAGCCGGCCUGAGAGGGUGACCGGCCACAUUGGGACUGAGAUACGGCCCAGACUCCUACGGGAGGCAGCAGUGGGGAAUAUUGCACAAUGGGUGGAAGCCUGAUGCAGCAACGCCGCGUGCGGGAUGACGGCCUUCGGGUUGUAAACCGCUUUCGCCUGUGACGAAGCGUGAGUGACGGUAAUGGGUAAAGAAGCACCGGCUAACUACGUG
This 468-nucleotide ribosomal RNA is filed under the name uncultured bacterium. Its description in RNAcentral is "partial 16S ribosomal RNA". It matches the Rfam family "Bacterial small subunit ribosomal RNA", at positions 28 to 507 of the family's 1533-position model. The record is from RNAcentral.